This 173-nucleotide ribosomal RNA is filed under the name Scinax arduous. Its description in RNAcentral is "partial 16S large subunit ribosomal RNA". Lineage: Eukaryota; Metazoa; Chordata; Amphibia; Anura; Hylidae. The record is from RNAcentral.
ACGUGAUCUGAGUUCAGACCGGAGCAAUCCAGGUCAGUUUCUAUCUAUAAAGAGCUUCUUCUAGUACGAAAGGACCGAAUAAGCAUGGCCUAUACUUUAAGCAAGCCAUCAUAAUUAAUUUAUGACUUAGACUCAAUAAACAAAUUAUCUUCAACCAACCUCAAAACAAGAGG